AGACACUUCCUGUUGUCUGUAGUUUAUCUGCUUGAGCCUAUCAUUGUAGAACUGGUUAUUUGCUGUUUGAGUCAUGGGCUAUACAUUUGACCUGUAAAAGACCAUGAAGCUUUGGUAAAUCACGACUGCUGUCCAGAAAUAAUGCAGUGACGUUGGUUGGCCAUGUUUGAGUGCCCCUUAAGCCUCGUUUGUCGAUCUGCCUUCCCUUAUAAAGAAGAGGAAACCCAGUGGACGCAGCGGCUUCAUCUGGGAGAAUAUACAUCGUUCUGCACCCCUUGCCUUCCCCCUCCCCCCCAUCACUACCAUCAAGGGAGGGGAGGGGCUUCCUCAUCUCUAGGGUGAAUGAUUAGCACAAUUACUCUGUAUUGGCUUCAUUUUAGGCAAAGUCAAGUAUAAUGACUUUCCCGUUUGGUUGAUUUUGUUCCACAGAGUUCUCCAUGUUUCUCUGGAUUUCUCAUAUGCUCAUCCUUUUUUACAGUGCCAUCAUAUUUCAUUAUUCCAGUCAGAUGCCACCAUUUAUUUAAUCAUUAGGCAAUCAAUGGGUAUAACUCAGACUUCUCAUUUUACAGUAGAGGAAACUGAGGACUCAGAAAAUGAAGAGGAAGUAUGAUCUAAUGGAAAUUACACUGGGCAAAAAUUUCUGGGCUUCAGGUAGAGUAAGGACUAGAACCCAGGUCUCCUGGCUUCCAGGCUAGAGCCUGGUCUACCUCACUAGUUUACCCCAAUAGCCUUCCACUGGGUAGCCCCAUUCUUUUCACCAUGGAUGUUUUUAUUGACAUGAGUAAAAUGCACUCAGACUUAUAUAAGGGACCACCCUACACUGACUGCUUUUGGUAAAGUAAAUCCUGCAAAUCAGUUUCCUUAUCUGUAAAAUGAGGGGAUUAGGCUAGAUGACCUCUAAGAUCCCUUCUAAUUUGAAAUUCUAUUGUUUCUCCUUUUCUCCUAAAUAAACAGCUUUUCUAAAUUGGGGCUUUUGUACGU
Molecule: long non-coding RNA, 981 nt
Filed under: Phascolarctos cinereus (koala)
Lineage: Eukaryota; Metazoa; Chordata; Mammalia; Diprotodontia; Phascolarctidae
Description: lncRNA (ENSPCIG00000033246.1)
Source: RNAcentral